Molecule: long non-coding RNA, 961 nt
Filed under: Pan troglodytes (chimpanzee)
Lineage: Eukaryota; Metazoa; Chordata; Mammalia; Primates; Hominidae
Description: long non-coding RNA NONPTRT006228
Source: RNAcentral
GGGAGAUGAAAAUGCUAAAUUGCUGUUUAAAAAGAUCAGGACAAGGUUAUGAUUUCUCACCCAAGUUCCUGGGAAAAAGGAUCAUGAGGGAAUUACUUAUUAACAAGGAAAAAGCAAAGAGGAACUUUACAAACUGUUACAGUUUUCCAUCAUCACUUGACUGCUGACAAGAAACCUCUUUGAAUUCCAGUAUACACAAUCACAUUUUAAAACCUUCAAGACGCCGUUUAAUCAGGAGUUGUAAGGCACAUUUGUUAGAGAGAGCUGCACUUUAAAAAUUAUACAGACAUCACCUGAAGUUAUUAAAGUUAUCAAAACAUAUUAAAAACCUUCAAGUAAGAGGUAUGCAUAUUAGCAGCAUUUAACUAAAAUUAAUAUAUUAAUUAGCAUAUUUCAGUAUCACUUUUAUAAUAGGAAAAAAAAGCAGUACGUUUUCGUUGUGUUCAUCACACACACACACACACACACACACACCCCCAUAGAAAACUUGAAUAUCAUCGAGCCUGGUCACAGUGAAAAUGUUAUAUAAAUAUAAAGGCACUGGGCAGAAAUGUUUACAAUUACAAUUUUUUUUUUCUUUUUACCUAUCUUUUUUUUUGAGAUAGGGUCUCCCUCUGUCACCUAGGCUGGAGUACAGUGGCACGAUCUUGCUCACUGCAGCCUUCACCUCCCAGGUUCAAGUGAUUCUCAUGCCUCAGCCUCCCAAGUAGCUGGGAUUACAGGCACACGCCACCAUGCCCAGCUAAUUUUUGUACUUUUAGUAGAGACGGGGUCUUGCCACAUUGACCAGGCUGGUCUCAAACUUCUGACUUCAAGUGAUCUGCCCGCCUUGAACUCCCAAAGUGCUGGGAUUGCAGGCAUGAGCCACUGUGCCCAGCAGAAUUUAUUUUUUUAAGUGAGACUGGAAUGAAUCUUUGGUUACUCAAAAUUCCAUGACACCAGUUAUUAGAUUUAGAUGAGA